This 378-nucleotide ribosomal RNA is filed under the name Triticum aestivum (bread wheat). Its description in RNAcentral is "partial small subunit ribosomal RNA". The record is from RNAcentral. Lineage: Eukaryota; Viridiplantae; Streptophyta; Magnoliopsida; Poales; Poaceae.
AUGAAGAGGUACAUGGAGCUGUGCGUGGAUCUGAGGAAAGGCAGAUUCGCCAAGGACGGCCUCAUUCAGUACUCCAGAAUCGUCUGCCAGCAGGAACUCAACAAUGUGUCGACUCUGGAGGAUGUUGUCAAACACUUCAUGCAUCUGUCCAACAAGAAAGCUGGGGAGGCGGCCAUGAAUCACCAGGCACAGGCUCUCAAUGUCCAUGAUCUGGAAGCACCAGAGGACCUAAUGCUCAGUUACGUCAGCGGGAAGGGCCGAUCUGACACUCCAUGGCUCAAGUUUCUGUGGGACACAUACAUGACGGCGCUGGAGGUGUUGAGGAACAACUCCAAGCUUCAAGCGUUGUAUGCCAUGGCUGCGCACAAUGCCUUUUAG